GAUGAACGCUAGCGGGAGGCCUAACACAUACAAGCCGAGCGGUAUUUGUCCUUCGGGACAGAGAGAGCGGCGUACGGGUGCGGAACACGUGUGCAACCUGCCUUUAUCUGGGGGAUAGCCUUUCGAAAGGAAGAUUAAUACCCCAUAAUAUAUCGAAUGGCAUCAUUCGAUAUUGAAAACUCCGGUGGAUAGAGAUGGGCACGCGCAAGAUUAGAUAGUUGGUGAGGUAACGGCUCACCAAGUCAGUGAUCUUUAGGGGGCCUGAGAGGGUGAUCCCCCACACUGGUACUGAGACACGGACCAGACUCCUACGGGAGGCAGCAGUGAGGAAUAUUGGACAAUGGGUGAGAGCCUGAUCCAGCCAUCCCGCGUGAAGGACUAAGGCCCUAUGGGUUGUAAACUUCUUUUAUACUGGGAUAAACCUACUUACGUGUAAGUAGCUGAAGGUACAGUAUGAAUAAGCACCGGCUAACUCCGUG
This 479-nucleotide ribosomal RNA is filed under the name uncultured bacterium. RNAcentral describes it as "partial 16S ribosomal RNA". It matches the Rfam family "Bacterial small subunit ribosomal RNA", at positions 28 to 507 of the family's 1533-position model. The record is from RNAcentral.